UACGAAGGGGGCUAGCGUUGCUCGGAAUUACUGGGCGUAAAGGGCGCGUAGGCGGAUAGUUUAGUCAGAGGUGAAAGCCCAGGGCUCAACCUUGGAAUUGCCUUUGAUACUGGCUAUCUUGAGUACGGGAGAGGUGUGUGGAACUCCGAGUGUAGAGGUGAAAUUCGUAGAUAUUCGGAAGAACACCAGUGGCGAAGGCGACACACUGGCCCGUUACUGACGCUGAGGCGCGAAAGCGUGGGGAGCAAACAGG
This 253-nucleotide ribosomal RNA is filed under the name uncultured bacterium. Its description in RNAcentral is "partial 16S ribosomal RNA". It matches the Rfam family "Bacterial small subunit ribosomal RNA", at positions 524 to 776 of the family's 1533-position model. The record is from RNAcentral.